GUCUGGAUGAGCUACUCUUAGGCCCGAACUACACGAAGGCGGAUAUUUAUUUAUCUGGAUAUUUUUGUACUCCCGUCUAAAUAAAUGUACCUGUCCACACAUGUUAGUUCAAAAAAAUAUCUGCGUCCACACGUAGGACAUACGAAAGUUUAGCUUCCAUUCAUCUGCAGGCACAGCCCCUCUAACGAAGUUGUCCCACCACUUGCUGGUCCGACCGGGUUUGAUCCAAAACUUACGCUUCUGGCAAACUUUAAAACGCCUAACGUUAACGUUACGAUUGCUCUCCAAAAAUAGUAUUGGGCGCAACAGACGCCUCUGUGAGCUGGCUGACUGGUGGAUGUAAUUGUAUAAAAUAAGGUUCACUUGCAAGGCUGAAAUUAGCCCCAAAAGGGCAAAACAAACGUAAAUAAUACCCUGUAUGUCCGCCAUCGUUGUUAUUGUUUUUGUUUUUCAUGCGCACGCGCGAGCUGCAAUUUGACGUCAUCGAUCCGUAAAAGUCCGACCACACGAAUCCACUGCGGAUACGGGAUACAGAUAUUUUUUUAUUUCUCCGCUUGUUUUUCCGGAUUCAGAUUUAUCCGGUUUGAGUGCUCCAAACUCCCGGUUUGGUGUGGUAGGGAAGCCUAAUCGGACAUGAAUAUGUGCGGUUUGAAAUAUAUUCGCCUUCGUGUAGUUCGGCCUCAGUCUGGUCCCUCCCCCAAGACCUGUUUGCCUUGGGUGACACUUCAGAGGCAUAAAGCCCCUGACAACAUAGCUCCUGGGAUCAUUGGGACACACAAACCCCUCCACCACGGUAAGGUGGUAGCUCGAGGAGGGGAAAAAAACCAUAAGGGUUUUUUUCCUUUUUUUUUUCUAAAUCAUUUACUUGUUGAAGAACAAGUUUUUCCAAGAUUUUACUUAAAAAUGGUAAGUUGGAUGGUUCCACAACCGGGGACCAUAAAAACUGAACGCCGCCUCCCCUUGUGUUUUUGUUUUUGACUUUGGGUAAGGUUAAAAGGCCUGUGCUGGAGGACCUCAGGGUCCGCGAGGGUUGAUUUGGUAAAAGUACAUCAGAUAAAUAAGAAGGGCCAAGUCCAUUAAUACAUCUAAAAACUAAUAAAAGAACCUUAUAAAUCAAUCCUGAAACAGAUCUGAAACGGAGUGGCGAUCAGUGAGAUAAGAGGUGAACCAGUUAAAAACAGUGCCUGAGAGGCCGACCAGGUGCUGAAGUCUAUUUAAUAAUGUGAUGGUCAACUGCAUCAAAGGCGGCGGCGGUUAGAUCCAGCAGGACCAAGACUGUGAGGUUGCCAUUAUCUAAAUUGCACCUGAUGUCAUUCAAAAUUUUUAAAAGGGCUGUCUCAGUACUGGGGUUCCUCCUAAAUCCUGAUUUGCACUUCUCUAAAAUGCUCUUUGUAUUUAAACGAUCGUAUUUAAAUACAAAGAUUGCUCUUCUAUUUUUUUUUUUUUUUGUGCCAAACAUCCACUUUAGGGUGUUUUUGUUUUUUUUUCAGAGUUUUUUGUUUUAAAGGUUUUUUGCCCAUUUUAAGGUUUGUUUUUUUUAGUUUUUUUUUUCUCGCCUGGCACAAAUGUCUGGAUGAGCUACUCUUAGUCUGGUCCCUCCCCCACAACCUGUUUGCCUUGGUUGACACUUCAGAGGCAUAAAGCCCCUGACAACAUACCUCCUGGGAUCAUUGGGACACACAAACCCCUCCACCACGGUAAGGUGGUAGCUCGAGGAGGGGAAAAAAACUCUCCCAUGGGGGAAGGAAAAACCAUAAGGGUUUUUUUUUCUUUUUUUUUAAAAAAUCAUUUACUUGUUGAAGAACAAGUUUUUCCAAGAUUUUACUUAAAAAUGGUAAGUUGGAUGGUUCCACAACCGGGGACCAUAAAAACUGAAUGCCGCCUCCCCGAGUUUUUGUUUUUUACUUUGGGUAAGGUUAAAAGGCCUGUGCCGGAGGACCUCAGGUUCCACAAGGGUUGAUUUGGUAAAAGCACAUCAGAUAAAUAAGAAGGGCCAAGUCCAUUAAUACAUCUAAAAACUAAUAAAAGAACCUUACAAUCAAUCCUGAAACGGACCUGAAACGGAGUGGCGAUCAGUGAGAUAAGAGAUGAAUCAGUUAAAAACAGUGCCUGAGAGGCCGACCAGGUGCUGAAGUCUAUUUAAUAAAAUGUGCUGGUCUACUGCAUCAAAGGCGGCGGCAGUUAGAUCCAGCAGGACCAAGACUGUGAGGUUGCCAUUAUCUAAAUUGCACCUGAUGUCAUUCAAAAUUUUUAAAAGGGCUGUCUCAGUACUGGGGUUCCUCCUAAAUCCUGAUUUGCACUUCUCUAAAAUGCUCUUUGUAUUUAAACGAUCAUAUUUAAAUACAAAGAUUGCUCUUCUAUUUUUUUUUUUGUGCCAAACAUCCACUUUAGGGUGUUUUUGUUUUUUUUUUCAGAGUUUUUUGUUUUAAAGUUUUUUUGCCCAUUUUAAGGUUUGUUUUUUUUAGUUUUUUUUUCUCGCCUGGCACAAAUGUCUGGAUGAGCUACUCUUAGUCUGGUCCCUCCCCCACAACCUGUUUGCCUUGGUUGACACUUCAGAGGCAUAAAGCCCCUGACAACAUACCUCCUGGGAUCAUUGGGACACACAAACCCCUCCACCACGGUAAGGUGGUAGCUCGAGGAGGGGAAAAAAACUCUCCCAUGGGGGAAGGAAAAACCAUAAGGGUUUUCUUUUCUUUUUUUAAAAAAAAUCAUUUACUUGUUGAAGAACAAGUUUUUCCAAGAUUUUACUUAAAAAUGGUAAGUUGGAUGGUUCCACAACCGGGGACCAUAAAAACUGAAUGCCGCCUCCCCGAGUUUUUGUUUUUGACUUUGGGUAAGGUUAAAAGGCCUGUGCCGGAGGACCUCAGGGUCCACAAGGGUUGAUUUGGUAAAAGUACAUCAGAUAAAUAAGAAGGGCCAAGUCCAUUAAUACAUCUAAAAACUAAUAAAAGAACCUUACAAUCAAUCCUGAAACAGACCUGAAACGGAGUGGCGAUCAGUGAGAUAAGAGGUGAACCAGAACAAGUUUUUCCAAGAUUUUACUUAAAAAUGGUAAGUUGGAUGGUUCCACAACCGGGGACCAUAAAAACUGAAUGCCGCCUCCCCGAGUUUUUGUUUUUGACUUUGGGUAAGGUUAAAAGGCCUGUGCCGGAGGACCUCAGGGUCCACAAGGGUUGAUUUGGUAAAAGUACAUCAGAUAAAUAAGAAGGGCCAAGUCCAUUAAUACAUCUAAAAACUAAUAAAAGAACCUUACAAUCAAUCCUGAAACGGACCUGAAACGGAGUGGCGAUCAGUGAGAUAAGAGAUGAAUCAGUUAAAAACAGUCUGGAUGAGCUACUCUUAGGCCCGAACUACACGAAGGCGGAUAUUUAUUUAUCUGGAUAUUUUUGUACUCCCGUCUAAAUAAAUGUACCUGUCCACACAUGUUAGUUCAAAAAAAUAUCUGCGUCCACACGUAGGACAUACGAAAGUUUAGCUUCCAUUCAUCUGCAGGCACAGCCCCUCUAACGAAGUUGUCCCACCACUUGCUGGUCCGACCGGGUUUGAUCCAAAACUUACGCUUCUGGCAAACUUUAAAACGCCUAACGUUAACGUUACGAUUGCUCUCCAAAAAUAGUAUUGGGCGCAACAGACGCCUCUGUGAGCUGGCUGACUGGUGGAUGUAAUUGUAUAAAAUAAGGUUCACUUGCAAGGCUGAAAUUAGCCCCAAAAGGGCAAAACAAACGUAAAUAAUACCCUGUAUGUCCGCCAUCGUUGUUAUUGUUUUUGUUUUUCAUGCGCACGCGCGAGCUGCAAUUUGACGUCAUCGAUCCAUAAAAGUCCGACCACACGAAUCCACUGCGGAUACGGGAUACAGAUAUUUUUUUAUUUCUCCGCUUGUUUUUCCGGAUUCAGAUUUAUCCGGUUUGAGUGCUCCAAACUCCCGGUUUGGUGUGGUAGGGAAGCCUAAUCGGACAUGAAUAUGUGCGGUUUGAAAUAUAUUCGCCUUCGUGUAGUUCGGCCUCAGUCUGGUCCCUCCCCCAAGACCUGUUUGCCUUGGGUGACACUUCAGAGGCAUAAAGCCCCUGACAACAUAGCUCCUGGGAUCAUUGGGACACACAAACCCCUCCACCACGGUAAGGUGGUAGCUCGAGGAGGGGAAAAAAACCAUAAGGGUUUUUUUCCUUUUUUUUUUUCUAAAUCAUUUACUUGUUGAAGAACAAGUUUUUCCAAGAUUUUACUUAAAAAUGGUAAGUUGGAUGGUUCCACAACCGGGGACCAUAAAAACUGAACGCCGCCUCCCCUUGUGUUUUUGUUUUUGACUUUGGGUAAGGUUAAAAGGCCUGUGCUGGAGGACCUCAGGGUCCGCGAGGGUUGAUUUGGUAAAAGUACAUCAGAUAAAUAAGAAGGGCCAAGUCCAUUAAUACAUCUAAAAACUAAUAAAAGAACCUUAUAAAUCAAUCCUGAAACAGAUCUGAAACGGAGUGGCGAUCAGUGAGAUAAGAGGUGAACCAGUUAAAAACAGUGCCUGAGAGGCCGACCAGGUGCUGAAGUCUAUUUAAUAAUGUGAUGGUCAACUGCAUCAAAGGCGGCGGCGGUUAGAUCCAGCAGGACCAAGACUGUGAGGUUGCCAUUAUCUAAAUUGCACCUGAUGUCAUUCAAAAUUUUUAAAAGGGCUGUCUCAGUACUGGGGUUCCUCCUAAAUCCUGAUUUGCACUUCUCUAAAAUGCUCUUUGUAUUUAAACGAUCGUAUUUAAAUACAAAGAUUGCUCUUCUAUUUUUUUUUUUUUUUUUGUGCCAAACAUCCACUUUAGGGUGUUUUUGGUUUUUUUUUCAGAGUUUUUUGUUUUAAAGGUUUUUUGCCCAUUUUAAGGUUUGUUUUUUGUAGUUUUUUUUUCUCGCCUGGCACCUAUGUCUGGAUGAGCUACUCUUAGGCCCGAACUACACGAAGGCGGAUAUUUAUUUGUACUCCCGUCUAAAUAAAUGUACCUGUCCACACGUGUUUGUUCAAAAAAAUAUCUGCGUCCACACGUAGGACAUACGAAAGUUUUUUGUUUUAAAGGUUUUUUGCCCAUUUUAAGGUUUGUUUUUUUUAGUUUUUUUUUUCUCGCCUGGCACAAAUGUCUGGAUGAGCUACUCUUAGUCUGGUCCCUCCCCCACAACCUGUUUGCCUUGGUUGACACUUCAGAGGCAUAAAGCCCCUGACAACAUACCUCCUGGGAUCAUUGGGACACACAAACCCCUCCACCACGGUAAGGUGGUAGCUCGAGGAGGGGAAAAAAACUCUCCCAUGGGGGAAGGAAAAACCAUAAGGGUUUUUUUUUCUUUUUUAAAAAAAAAUCAUUUACUUGUUGAAGAACAAGUUUUUCCAAGAUUUUACUUAAAAAUGGUAAGUUGGAUGGUUCCACAACCGGGAACCAUAAAAACUGAACGCCGCCUCCCCGUGUGUUUUUGUUUUUGACUUUGGGUAAGGUUAAAAGGCCUGUGCCGGAGGACCUCAGGGUCCGCGAGGGUUGAUUUGGUAAAAGUACAUCAGAUAAAUAAGAAGGGCCAAGUCCGUUAAUACAUCUAAAAACUAAUAAAAGAACCUUAUAAAUCAAUCCUGAAACAGAUCUGAAACAGAGUGGCGAUCAGUGAGAUAAGAGGUGAACCAGUUAAAAACAGUGUCUGAGAGGCCGACCAGGUGCUGAAGUCUAUUUAAUAAUGUGAUGGUCAACUGCAUCAAAGGCGGCGGCGGUUAGAUCCAGCAGGACCAAGACUGUGAGGUUGCCAUUAUCUAAAUUGCACCUGAUGUCAUUCAAAAUUUUUAAAAGGGCUGUCUCAGUACUGGGGUUCCUCCUAAAUCCUGAUUUG
Xyrichtys novacula (pearly razorfish) is the source of this 5832-nucleotide non-coding RNA. The record is from the annotation of a GenBank genome assembly. Lineage: Eukaryota; Metazoa; Chordata; Actinopteri; Labriformes; Labridae.